Long non-coding RNA from Pezoporus occidentalis (night parrot), 2010 nucleotides. RefSeq lists it as uncharacterized. The transcript has 3 exons. The record is from RefSeq and is a predicted model, not a curated record. Lineage: Eukaryota; Metazoa; Chordata; Aves; Psittaciformes; Psittacidae.
AAAGCUGAUCUAAUUAUUCAUCUCAGAAAAUUCCGAGUGUCAAAAAGGUAAAUAAGAGCCUAGUGCUUUCUUAACUGGCUGAAGGGUAGGACAUGCUGAUAUUGGGAAAGUUUGGUGCACCUGGUACUCUAACAGUCUCUUUCUGAUACUAAAACCAAGAAAAGGCAGCUCUAAGACCACUUUCAAUACUACCAGCAUCUAAGCAAAUCUCCUGCACUGCCCAGGACAGGAGAUACAGGCCUGUCAGGAGGGCCCUAUUCCUCUUCAAAGUGUGUAGGAUGGUAUGCUGCAAGAAGUUUUGUUUAAAAUCUACAGGAACACAAACCCAAGAUGUAUAUGUGUUUUGAGAAGCAGUUCACCUAUUCCGCUUUCUGAAGCCAACUUUUACUUGACAUUAAGCCUCAGUAAAAGCAGCCUUUGUUGAGGAUCCAUACGGCUUUCUGUGUAUAGUAGCGCAGGUGUCAACACAAAGAGGUUCAAGAGAGUUGCAAAAUAUAGUAAUGUUUUAUUUUGCAUAGCUGAGUCUUCUAAUGAGGUUAAAAAAUGUUAUAUGUCACAGCCACAGGCAAAAUACUAGCUACAAGUAUGUAAAUCAAAGCUAUUUAAGCAAUUCUGGUACCUUUUCUGGGUAAGUAGAUUCUUCAACAUACUGGAGACAGUGCAUUGGAGGAGCACCAAGAUGAAAAGAGACUUAGAGAACCAUCUUCAUUGAGCUGUAAGAAAAGAAGGAAAAGGGAGGAUUUUAACUGCUGUCUUCAACUGCAGACUCUUCAAGGUGUGUAAUGGUAAGAAAAGAGACAACAGACAUAAACGGCAAUGCAGGAAGUUGUGACUGGAAACAGGUGCCCAGAGAGGUGGAAUUUCCAUUCUCAAAGAUACUAAAAUCUCAGCUGGACAAAGACCUAACAGGUUGCUUUCACAGGAAGAAUGAAGCAUUUGCACAUCAGCUAUUUUUGAGGAUUCACAAUUUCUGCCUAGAGAGCAGCAGAAUGAAAUGUUUGCUUAGUGCUUUGCAGCUCGUCUUAUAGCAAAAGAAGAUGUUGUCAAGAAAAUUAAACUUUCAGCAAUUGAACAUGAAGAUGUAAGCACUGACCACUGAUAGAUGAAGAUGUAAUAAGGUGUAUCCCCUUCAGCUUGGAAAGAACCGCAGAAAGGUACCUAUGCUGGAGUCCUGUCAUGCGUCGAUCAACCCAGCCCUUAGAGUACUUCAAACCAACUUCUGUUUUUUACUGAUGCUGCUUCAAGCUGGUUGAUGGUUUUUGCACUGAAAAGCAAAGCAGACAGUCCUAACAAGACCACUUACAUAGUACCAUCAUGAAUGCGGUAGAUGCACAGCAGCCAAAAUGAACUGGCUUACUGUAGCAGGCCAUGCCAACACUUCUUCAGGCAUCAGACAUGUUAUAUAAAAAGGGGCAAACCAGACAAGUUCAGGACAAACAGGACAAAAAGGCAAGACCUUUCCAUUUCAACUACUGAGGCAGCUGAAAUUCUGGGGAAGGGGAGGGGGACUCAGUAUUUAAAUGGUUCUCUUUUUUCCCCGCAUUUUUCAUUUUCUUUAAAAUGCUCGUAGACUAUAUUGAAAUUAUUUUUUAAUUUUGCCAUUCCACAUGAAAAGCAAAGUUUCCUGGCUACAGGGUCUUCAGUUUGCUACACACAGAAAGAAGCAUGUGAAAUGCAGGUGAUUUGAUCAGAUCUGAGAACCUAGAGAAACCGCAGUUACCUUCCUGAGCUGCCUGAAUUUUUGUCAUCUUACUUUGGACAUCUUUGCAGAAAAUUUUGAAGAAAUUGGGAGUGCCAUGUUUUUCCUGUAUUUCACAUAGAAAAAUGGAAGAGAAAAAUAGUGGGACAAAAAUAAUAGCAAUAAUCUAGAAUAAAGCUUUAUAUUAAUUUUCAGCAUAAAAGGAUUUCCACUCUAGUGAUAGUUUGGUCUUUACUGUACUUUGCUCCUGCUGAUUCUCCUGAAUUGCUUCAGCCAAUUCUCACUGGAAAAAUAAAACUCAUGACCAAGAA